Non-coding RNA from Nicotiana tabacum (common tobacco), 2391 nucleotides. The record is from RefSeq and is a predicted model, not a curated record. NCBI's taxonomy places the organism in Eukaryota, Viridiplantae, Streptophyta, Magnoliopsida, Solanales, Solanaceae.
GAAAUGUUGGUUAUUCUUCUUAUCUUCAUAAUUUAAUUAUCUUUUAAAAUAAAAAACCAAAAAAAAAAAAAGAGAUUCAAAAUGAAGUAAAAUCACGUUAAAGUGUAUUCAAAAUCUUAUUUUUACUUUAAAAAAACAAAACACCCUAAUCCCCAUUUUUCCCAUAUCCUUCACGUAUCCCCACAUAUCCGCCCCACUUCCCACUUCUCCCACUCUUCUCGCCACUUCCUCACAUCAGUUAUACAACACACACAUCUAUAUAUUUUGGACACUUCACAAAUGAAAAGAGGGAGGAAUCUGAAGCAAAAAAAAAAAGAACGGAAGAAAAAGAAGAGGAAGCUGGUCAUUUGGAAAAACUUAUGCACUGCCGCAGCUCUCAACCCAAAACACGCCGAACACCACCAUUUUUAACUCACGACCUUCAUAGCCAUGUAACCAGCCAAGCACCUCAUCUCCACUUUCAUUCUCACCAUUGAAAUAGCCCCAAAAUCACCAAAAAUUAGCUCCUUUCUUCCAAAAAAAAAAAAAAAAAAGCAAAAACACCUUGAACCAGUCCCCUUUUUCACAUGAAACGGCAGCAAAAACCAACCCGUUUGGGUCGAGAUUGUUUAGGCCACUGUUCGAGUUUACCGGAAGUAGAUUCUAGCUUCUGUUUUCGUUUGCGGCAAAGUUUGCCGAUGUCAAAUUUGUUUGUGCAAAGUUGUUAUUGAAAGCUAAAGAAAGGGAUCUGGACUGUGUCGGAGACCUGAUCACCUUUCUGCUGUAAUACCUUGUAAAAAAGUGAGCAAGGUCCUGUCUCUUAGCGCGAGGAAUAAAUUUCUUGGGGAUGAUCAUUUAGCUGCUCAGGAGAAUACAACGGAUGAAAAGUAUGUGCAUAAUUCAUUGAACAUUGUAUCUGAUGGAUAUUGCGCAUUGAGGCAAACCAAAAGAAGUGAUUAUGUUGGCUAUUUCAUUACCACAAGUACAGAAUCUAGUGAUUCUGUUGGUAGUUGUAGUAUCAAUGAUAAAUUCUCUAACUGUUCUCCAGUAGAAGUUUAUUGCCAAGGAACUGAGCUUCUUUGCAGUGAUGCAGAGUCUUUUCGAAAUUUAGCAGAUAAGGAGGAAAGACACCCUCUUUCUUCACCAGAGAAAAUAGCAGCAAGUAUUCAUAGUUUGGAGUUACAUGCUUAUCGCUGUACUUUGGAGGCAUUGUAUGCUUCCGGUCCCUUAAGUUGGGACCAAGAAGCAUUGUUAACGAAUCUUCGCAUCUCGCUCCAUAUUUCAAAUGAUGAACAUUUAGCUGAGCUGAGGACUUUAAUUUCUGCUGGAACUGGUAUUCAUGGCAACAGUUGGAUGCUAUACAUCAUUUGCCUCCAAAAGUCAAAAAGAUGAUGCUUGCAUUUGCAGAUCCUCUCCUGCAACGUCAACUGUCCCAAAGAUAAGACAAUUCGUGGCUUUUUGUUGUUGCUACAGUAAAGCUUCAUCAUCUGUUUUGUCAUGAUAACUUCGAUAUUGGCACCGAGAAAGUUAAAUCAAUUCAAAAAUACAGCUAUUUGUAAAUAAGGUCUUAUAAUAUGCUGUAUCUCUGUUUAUGGCUCCUCCAACUACAUGUUGCACUUAUUUUGCACUAGAAUACAUAUAGAGUUAUAGGCUUUUUUUUUCUUAUGGACAUAGCAGGAAAAGACAUUUACAUUUAAUUGGAUAGCUAUAGGUAACAUAGUCUACAUACACAGGAUUACGAUGCUGGUGCAGGUUUGCUGCUUCUGUAAUCCUGCUGCAACAAAUUGUUUGUUCACUUUAACUUUAUGUAUUUUGCUCAUUAUAAUUACCAUCAGCUGUUUCUGUAGCAGGUCUAGAGAUCCAAAUUACUUUCAUUUUCACCGCUCGUGCUGGAGGUAAAAGAGAAUAUGUAUGUACAUCUAUCUGUAAACUGUGAUGAAACAUGAAAUCUCUGCUCCAACUGUUUCCGUGAAACAAGAAAACUCUGCGUAUGUCAGACUUGCACCACUCGUUCAGUUUAAAGUUAACACCACGAACAAUAAGGUGUGGGCCUACACUACAGUCCAGUGUUGUGGUUACCCUAAAUGGGCCUUAGGCCUGUACUAAUCAGCCCGUGGGCGACUCAAUAUAGUAGAAAUGACACUCGAUAGCCACUCUAAAGGCCUGCUAUUUAGGAACUAGCUGUCACGACCCAAACCGAUGGCCGCGACAUGCACCCAAUGCCUUACUCAACCGAGUACCAAUGUUACAUAUCUUUUUGUAUCAUGCUAUCACCGGUAAAUGAGUCAUGAGAUAACCAGAAUAAACAUGGGAGAAUAAUCGGCAUAGAACGACCCAACGUGAUAUAGAAACUUAUACACGUGACAUACAGGUCUAUAAGGCCAACAUGAUCAUUUGUAAACUCAAAACAUA